GUCUCCCUCCCCUCCCCCGUCACACUUAACCCUUUAAUGUGACAUCCGCUUCACAUCUCUGCCUGCCACUCAGAUGACUCGGAGCUACAUGUGUGUGAGUCAGCCUGCACAUGAUACUGAUACCGAGUACAGCUACAGAUAUCUGUUCUUCAUUUAUUAGCAAAUGACAACAGGUAGUUGUUGAAAUGGUUGAGAAAAAAAGGCGGAGGGAUAGUGCCAAGUUGAAAAAUUAUGUCCCACAAGACAUUGCUCACUGACACGCCGAUCAAUAAGAGAUUUUGGAGUGAUAAGCAAAUAACCAACGACCAUUUACAUAAUUCCUCUGGCAUACUUUGUGCAUUCAAUUGUGGGACCAUGUUUUCUUGUAUUAAUUUGAUUAAGGAGAUUCAGACUUCAUUACCAUAUGCAUGAGCUUACGGUUUGCUAAUGGCAUUCGAAAUAAUGGAUCAGAACAAGCUGCCUGGUGAAAUCUUGCCACGGAUCGUGAGCCUACUCCUUAAUGUAGGCUUUGGUGUCUUUAAUGUUCUAGAGCCCAUAAAGGAGCAGGAUCCCAGGCCUUCCUGGCUGAGCUGGCAGAAGCAUAAGGAAAAUGAAAUAUAAGGAAAAAACAAGGGUGCAACGCAACAGAAUUUCCCUUCUCAUCUAAUUAAAUUCCUCUUGGCUGCCUUAAUACUGAUUUUCACCUGCCUCUUUCCUUUGUCCUCUGGCAAUUUUCCCAUCUGUCUUCAAACAAUUCCUGACAUUUCUUAAUUCCAUUUCUCUGUAAAUAUCUGUCUCUGCUUUGAAACCGCUGAAGGACGUGUGCUCUUGCUAAAUGUCUACCUUUCUCCUUGACCCUGUACAGGCCUAUAGACCUUUCAGCGAUACUCAAAGAGAUACAGCCAAGGCCCAGUUCUGUUAGACAAGCCACAUUUGGAGCAUCAUUUUUAGCAUAAUUUACUGUUUGUGCUGGGACAAAAAUAUGUUUGUUUGUUUUUUAAAUUUCUAUGAUCAACUCCAAAAUGUUAUACUUAACCAAAUACUAAUGUUUCCAUAAUCUAAAUACAUAAAUAAAUAGUCUAUAUUUA
Molecule: long non-coding RNA, 1067 nt
Organism: Xenopus laevis (African clawed frog)
Lineage: Eukaryota; Metazoa; Chordata; Amphibia; Anura; Pipidae
Exons: 3
Source: RefSeq, a predicted model, not a curated record